UACGUAGGGUGCAAGCGUUGUCCGGAAUUAUUGGGCGUAAAGAGCUCGUAGGCGGUCUGUCGCGUCGGAUGUGAAAAUCCAGGGCUCAACCCUGGACCUGCAUUCGAUACGGGCAGACUAGAGUUCGGUAGGGGAGACUGGAAUUCCUGGUGUAGCGGUGAAAUGCGCAGAUAUCAGGAGGAACACCCGUGGCGAAGGCGGCUCUCUGGGACGGUACUGACGCUGAGACGCGAAAGCGUGGGGAGCGAACAGG
This 253-nucleotide ribosomal RNA is filed under the name uncultured bacterium. Its description in RNAcentral is "partial 16S ribosomal RNA". It matches the Rfam family "Bacterial small subunit ribosomal RNA", at positions 524 to 776 of the family's 1533-position model. The record is from RNAcentral.